This 537-nucleotide ribosomal RNA is filed under the name Triticum aestivum (bread wheat). Its description in RNAcentral is "partial small subunit ribosomal RNA". The record is from RNAcentral. Lineage: Eukaryota; Viridiplantae; Streptophyta; Magnoliopsida; Poales; Poaceae.
AUGGCCGCCGCCGCCGAGGUCGGGCCGAUGAUGGCGACGGUUGCCCUGGAGUGCGGCGGCGACAUCUCGGCGUCCCAGGAGGACACCCUCGCCAACUCCUCCUUCCUCGGCGCCGGCAACGCCCCCUCCGCCUCGCAGGCGCGGGGGGCCGAGGACGACGACGAGGAGGUCUUCGCCACCCCUCCCGAGCUCCCCCAACAAGACCCCAUCACCAUGUGCAGCCUCCCCUUCACCCCCAGUCCCGCUCAGCCCCAGUCGCCCUCGCCACCUCCCUCCGACGACGACGACGCCGCCAAACCUCGCCGGAAGCCUAGGGUUUGCACCAGGAAGGUCAGGGGCGCCAAGUUCAGCACCCCAGCCCCGACCCCGAGCCCCAAGCAGCAGCAGCAGCCAGAGCAACCGCCCCGUGCCGUCGUCGAUCCUCUCUACAGGGCGAUGCUCAUGAUCCCCACCGCCACCGCCGCCGCCGCCACCACCAGCAAGCACGAUCCCUUGGAGGACUUCCUCGCGCUCGCCCGCCAGCGCGGCAUCUUCUAG